This 253-nucleotide ribosomal RNA is filed under the name uncultured prokaryote. RNAcentral's name for it is "partial 16S ribosomal RNA". It matches the Rfam family "Bacterial small subunit ribosomal RNA", at positions 524 to 776 of the family's 1533-position model. The record is from RNAcentral.
UACGGAGGGGGCAAGCGUUAUUCGGAUUUACUGGGCGUAAAGCGCACGUAGGUGGCAUGGUAAGUCACAGGUGAAAGCCCUCGGCUCAACCGAGGAACUGCCUGUGAAACUGUCUUGCUUGAGUCCGGGAGGGGGGAGCGGAAUUCCCAGUGUAGCGGUGAAAUGCGUAGAUAUUGGGAAGAACACCGGUGGCGAAGGCGGCUCCCUGGACCGGUACUGACACUGAGGUGCGAAAGCGUGGGUAGCAAACAGG